Long non-coding RNA from Choloepus didactylus (southern two-toed sloth), 2071 nucleotides. RefSeq lists it as uncharacterized. The record is from RefSeq and is a predicted model, not a curated record. The transcript has 3 exons. NCBI's taxonomy places the organism in Eukaryota, Metazoa, Chordata, Mammalia, Pilosa, Megalonychidae.
AUUCCCAGUCCCCUCCCCUCAGCACCACAUACUGUGCAGCCGUCGUGGGAGGACGGGUUCAAAGGAGAAGCUUGGAGAGGGCAGGAGGGCUGCAGCAGGCACCGGGCUCUUUGCUGUGCACUGCCUGCCCCUCGCCGACGUUGCACCUUGCUGCCUCAGUUUAGACUUGCUGAUUCUUCUCCACUGUGUUCCUGAGCGCCCGCCCCCCAGCCUGGGCGAGUGCCCAGAGCUCAACACUGGGUACCGUGGUGGGAGCGUGCGCUGAGCUGCACAGGCAGCCUGGUGAGAAAUAAGGAAGUCUGGAGGUCACAGACAAGUGAGAAAAGAAGCAGGAGCCCAGGAAAGGGCAGCGAGAGAGCGCGGCCGCACGUGAUAAGGCUCUGUGAUCUCCAGACGGUUCUUUCUGGCAGUGGUUUCCAAUCUGAGUGCCAAGGCACCCCAAAGUGCUGUGGGAUAGUUUACAUUUUGAAGAAACACAGAGAUGCUUCACAUCUGUCAGCAUUAACCUCUAGGUCAAGGCAUUGAAAGUACAGAAUUUUUAUUGUGGCAGAAGGAAAAUUGAAAUUUUACUCUGUGAUGGUUGAACGUCUUCAUCAGAGUUGCCAGUCUGCAGCCAGCCCUAUGGAAUUUGGACUCGUGCAUCCCCACAGCUGUGUGAGACACUUUCAUAAAAUCUUAAAUUUAUAGGUAUCUCUUGUUGGUUCUGUUUCCUUAGAGAACCCUAACUAAUACACACUCCGUAUUUGCAUUUUCAUUCUGCCAUAGUAAGAGCCCCGAUAGCCAGCAGUAUCCAUGUAGUCAUUUGCUCAAUCCUACGCUACCUACAGAAGAUACCCAGCCCUCUGCCCAUCACCUGGUCCCCUAAACCUCCGACACCAAUUGGGAGCCCAGGAUGAUGCUGGGGGCCACUAGGUAUCAAUGUCAGACCCUGUCCAAUUUUCCUUAAAAUGUCUGGGUAUUCCCAAUUGCUAGUGUACAGCCAUCGAGUAAAUGGCUGUUAGGUGCCUUUGGGGAAGGACUGCGGGAAUAAUUAUAAUACAUACCUGCCAUAGUAUCACAGAUUCCCUUUUCCUAGCAACCUGGCCAGGUGUUUAGUCAAUGGGGACAGAUACUGAUCAGAAGACUACGCCCCUUUGUAGGCUGUCUUCUGGCAGCCUCCUGCUCCUUCACGCUCACCUUUUCUGGUUGUCGAUGUAAAGCAGUGCCCUUGUCGACCACCCUUCUGUCUUGCCCCUGGGGCCACCGUGCUGUACCAGCCGUCUCCACAGCCCUUUGUCGGUCGAGCCCCCUUGGCUGCUGCCUUGACCUUGUGUGGCCGUUACAGCAAUUGCAGCUUGCUGGCUUCUGGGGGUGCAGCGCCACCACUGGCCCCUGCUUCUCGGGGGGAGAGCAUCACCCUGGUGGAUAAAUGGGGGCCGAGCUCCCACCCUGAGGUUUUGCUCCUAACAUGGGCCCUGGCCUGCCGCAGAGGCCACCGCCACACUUCUCAGCGAAGCUGGUGCCCCUCCCACCACACCCUCCUGGCAUCGUGGAUGGGGGUCUCUGCACCCUCCUGUGGAGUCCUCCAGCCUCAUGAAAUACUCCCAUUGCCCCCAACCCCAUUUUCUCCUCCUCUCCUAUUGGCCAGGGCAGCUCAGGCCUCACCCACUGUGGGACCUGCUUCCUCCAGACUUCAAAGGUGCACCUUGGCAGCGAGAUUGCCCACCCCUGGGUCCACACCUGGGGGUCAAAUACUCUGUCCUGAGAAAUGCCCUCAAGUCUGUGCGUUCUUGCUUAUCCAGUCUGAUAUUUCAGCCUCCAUGACCAAUCAUCCUCGAAAGCCGCUCCCAGGGGUGCUCCUCUGGCUCCUGCCAGUGUGUGGUUAGCUAAAUACUGACACCUAUAAGGGGAGGAGGGAGAGGAGGGCUCGGGGAGGAGUCUCAGACCAUGAUGCAGAUGUGACACCUUGUGCCGGUUUGAGUGUAUUGUGUCCCCCAAAUGCCAUUAUCUUUGUGGUCUUGUGGGGCAGAAGUUUUGGUGCUGGUUGGAUUUGCUUGGAGUGUGCCCCACCCAGCUGUGGGAGAUGAUUCUA